AAUUGGACAAUGGGGGGAACCCUGAUCCAGCCAUGCCGCGUGUGUGAAGAAGGCCUUUUGGUUGUAAAGCACUUUAAGCGAGGAGGAGGCUACUCUAGUUAAUACCUAGAGAUAGUGGACGUUACUCGCAGAAUAAGCACCGGCUAACUCUGUGCCAGCAGCCGCGGUAAUACAGAGGGUGCAAGCGUUAAUCGGAUUUACUGGGCGUAAAGCGCGCGUAGGUGGCCAAUUAAGUCAAAUGUGAAAUCCCCGAGCUUAACUUGGGAAUUGCAUUCGAUACUGGUUGGCUAGAGUAUGGGAGAGGAUGGUAGAAUUCCAGGUGUAGCGGUGAAAUGCGUAGAGAUCUGGAGGAAUACCGAUGGCGAAGGCAGCCAUCUGGCCUAAUACUGACACUGAGGUGCGAAAGCAUGGGGAGCAAACAGGAUUAGAUACCCUGGUAGUCCAUGCCGUAAACGAUGUCUACUAGCCGUUGGGGCCUUUGAGGCUUUAGUGGCGCAGCUAACGCGAUAAGUAGACCGCCUGGGGAGUACGGUCGCAAGACUAAAACUCAAAUGAAUAGACGGGG
RNAcentral lists this ribosomal RNA (565 nucleotides) under bacterium E-1-0-9G. RNAcentral's name for it is "bacterial SSU rRNA". It matches the Rfam family "Bacterial small subunit ribosomal RNA", at positions 359 to 918 of the family's 1533-position model. The record is from RNAcentral.